This 264-nucleotide ribosomal RNA is filed under the name Paecilomyces variotii. RNAcentral describes it as "Byssochlamys spectabilis partial small subunit ribosomal RNA". It matches the Rfam family "Eukaryotic small subunit ribosomal RNA", at positions 1201 to 1491 of the family's 1831-position model. Lineage: Eukaryota; Fungi; Ascomycota; Eurotiomycetes; Eurotiales; Thermoascaceae. The record is from RNAcentral.
CAACACGGGGAAACUCACCAGGUCCAGACAAAAUAAGGAUUGACAGAUUGAGAGCUCUUUCUUGAUCUUUUGGAUGGUGGUGCAUGGCCGUUCUUAGUUGGUGGAGUGUUUGUCUGCUUAAUUGCGAUAACGAACGAGACCUCGGCCCUUAAAUAGCCCGGUCCGCGUCUGCGGGCCGCUGGCUUCUUAGGGGGACUAUCGGCUCAAGCCGAUGGAAGUGCGAGGCAAUAACAGGUCUGUGAUGCAAAUUCGGUCUGUGAUGCA